RNAcentral lists this ribosomal RNA (166 nucleotides) under uncultured bacterium. Its description in RNAcentral is "partial 16S rRNA". It matches the Rfam family "Bacterial small subunit ribosomal RNA", at positions 355 to 512 of the family's 1533-position model. The record is from RNAcentral.
UAGGGAAUCUUCGGCAAUGGACGAAAGUCUGACCGAGCAACGCCGCGUGAGUGAAGAAGGUUUUCGGAUCGUAAAACUCUGUUGGUAGAGAAGAACGUUGGUGAGAGUGGAAAGCUCAUCAAGUGACGGUAACUACCCAGAAAGGGACGGCUAACUACGUACACGA